Molecule: transfer RNA, 74 nt
Filed under: Candidatus Entotheonella gemina
Lineage: Bacteria; Pseudomonadati; Candidatus Tectimicrobiota; Candidatus Entotheonellia; Candidatus Entotheonellales; Candidatus Entotheonellaceae
Description: tRNA-Arg
Rfam family: tRNA
About the family: Transfer RNA (tRNA) molecules are approximately 80 nucleotides in length. Their secondary structure includes four short double-helical elements and three loops (D, anti-codon, and T loops).
Source: RNAcentral
GCCCCGUAGGCGUAACGGAUGCGCACCAGUCUUCUAAACUGGGUGACCGGGUUCAAUUCCCGGACGGGGUGUCA